UCAGGAAUAGCCAUGGACCGAAAGAGAAAAGCAAACAUUUUGGAAGAUGAGAUCAGGGCAAUGGUAGAGGAGAUUGAAGACAUGCAACAUGUAUUUUUCGGUGGACAAAAUAGUGGGUUGACAAAGCCAAACAGGUAGCUUGGGAGUGUGUCUCCGAUGCAGUGAACGAGGUGGGGCAGCAAGACAGAACUGUGGCUGAUGUGAAAAAUAAAUGGUCAGACCUUAAACUGCAAUGGAAAAAAAUAAUAGCCAUACAUAACCGCAGCAUUAAGGAGCGAGAGGGGGCCCGGCACGCCGGAUCUCCCCCUAAUGGACCAGCGGAUCGGGGAAAUCAUUGGGGAAAGCGCAUACACUGACACAUGCUCCGACGGCAACGUGACAUCAGAAAGUGACGUCGGAGUGCGAAACCCGAAAACUGCAUCACUGGAUCACGAAAAUGGGGGAAGCUGCGUUGCAGACCGUGCACCGGGUGAGGGUGCCCACUCCACCAAGGGAAGCUGUGUUGCAGCCCGUGCUCCCUCCACC
Oncorhynchus mykiss (rainbow trout) is the source of this 525-nucleotide long non-coding RNA. RefSeq lists it as uncharacterized. The record is from RefSeq and is a predicted model, not a curated record. NCBI's taxonomy places the organism in Eukaryota, Metazoa, Chordata, Actinopteri, Salmoniformes, Salmonidae.